AUGAAACAGUCGCCCCCUCCCCCUACUGGCCAGCCCCUCCCCCGGGCUCGUGCAGCCGUUAGGACCCUUCCUUCCCUCUCUCGGCCACCGCCUGCCACUGCGUGUGCCCGUCUCCGGUCGGGCCCUGGAAGCCUCAGGGGAGCCUGGGGGAUGCCAGGGCCCGCACUGCGCCUCCUCCUUCUGGUCCUGAAUUUGGCCGCGGCAGCGCCGACUUCGAAACUUCAUCGGGAGGAGCCCAAGCCUGAGUCAGUGGCCGCAUCAGGUCAGCUAAAAAAGGAUCAAAUCAAAUCAGUGAUGACCAAGAAAACUUCUUCUGGACAGCUUCUGCUUGAGUCCUCCGAACAGACAAGCUUUCAGAAAGAUCAUCUAACCUAUAAAUGCCUUUGGAAGAAAGAAGAGUUUGUGGUUCUUAAAAAUGGAAGGGAACUCGAAUUUGAAAUGAGGACAAGUACCUACAAGAACAAAAAACUCCUUUUUCAAAAUAUCAUCUUAAAAAUGCCUCUUUCUCAAGGAAAACAAGCAAACAAUGGAGUCAGAAAAGCAGUCCUGGCUCAAAGAUGUUUGGGAAGUAAAAAAGUAAGCUCAGCUUUAACAAAAACAAGGGUGUUAGCUUUGGCAAGAAAAGGAAAAAGUAUAAAGAAACAAAACAAUCCAAAAACUGAACUACAAAAGCAAUUGGAAAAUGCUCAAAAUCAGAAAAUAGGGGUGUCAACAGAAAUCCCCCUCCAGUUUGCCACAGCAGACUUUGACUUGUUGGCCAGAAGAUGGUGGUGGCCAAAAGGAGCAUUUUUAAAAGCAUCCCCAAAUCUUUUCACAUCAAGAAACAAUCAGGAGAACCAAGGAAAUAGAGAGAAUAAUCCCAAGCCACUAAAGACAUAUGCCCUCCACCCUUUAGAAGCAACAAAAGCGGUACAACAGAGUAUCAGAACGUGGAAACUGUAUAAGCUGAAUGUUGUCUCUAAAGAGCCUUGUAAAUCAGUGAAUUCAAAAAGAGCCCUAGGAGUAGAUGAAGAAGAGCCAAAGAAAGAUGAGAUUAUGCUGACAAUCCUUUGUAGAAAGCUAUUGUCUUUAAACAUUUCAGCAAAUGGUAGCAGUACUUGGAAGGUACAAUCAAGAAAAAUAUUUUUUGGACAUUAUGCAAAAAUAGGUAGAAAGGGUCUUCUGAUCUUGCUAACUUCCAUGAAAACAAGAUCAAUGGUAAUCCGAAAGACCCAAAGAGUUGGAAACAGAGUCAUUUUGUCUGUCACAAAAUGUGUUCACAUUAGUAAUGGCAGGUCUAGAGAACCUUGCAGGAAACAGAAUAGCACAGAUUUAGGAGAUAUCAGUCAAAUUCUUUCAAGAAAUGGAGGUCAAGAAGCUAAGUCAUCAACUUCAGAAAUUAUUCAAGAAAAACUAAAAUUCUUAUCGGCUUUUAAAGCAACAUCAAAAGACAAAGAAUGCAGGAUAAAAAUUUGGUCUGUCUAUGUAAGGCUACCUUUAAAACUUCAUGAACAAAAUGCAAAUACAUUUCAAAGAAAAACUGACAGGCUGGUGUACCAAGAUGGAAGUCAGGGAGACCCAAGAAUUCUUAAUAGAAAACCAGACGUGGUCCCAAGAGCCCCUUACUUGGAUAAUGAGGGGAAGACAUCUCAAUGGAUAAGGUUGGAAGAAAGUAGAGGAAAAAAUUCAUGGAACAGGGCACAACUUCCCUUCAUCGGCUUGCUCUGUAGUCAGCUUUACACUUUUAUUAUCAGAUCACACUCUAAUAUUAUAGUUAUGUCACAAAGGAAAUUGACUGCAUUUAUCAAGACAUUGAUGGCACAACUGCCUGGGAAAAGCCAACCAGCUUUUGCCAAGCUGACUGGAAUGUUGACAGUUCUUAAAGUUACUCUGUCUCCUAAAUAUUUAAGAUUAAGAAGCUCCUUCAAGAGAGCUAAAUAA
Molecule: long non-coding RNA, 1920 nt
Filed under: Monodelphis domestica (gray short-tailed opossum)
Lineage: Eukaryota; Metazoa; Chordata; Mammalia; Didelphimorphia; Didelphidae
Description: lncRNA (ENSMODG00000044371.1)
Source: RNAcentral